Mytilus californianus (California mussel) is the source of this 4213-nucleotide RNA transcript. It is a transcript of the gene named phospholipid scramblase 1-like, with no coding region annotated. The transcript is spliced from 13 exons. The record is from RefSeq and is a predicted model, not a curated record. NCBI's taxonomy places the organism in Eukaryota, Metazoa, Mollusca, Bivalvia, Mytilida, Mytilidae.
AAAGGGAGAUAAUUGUCAGGAAUACGGUGAACCCGCAAACCACGCCCAAGAUUUGUUUGUAAACAAGUUUUAUUCGGAAUUGAUAUUUUAUAUUUUAAGAUAUAAGAAAUAUUAUAGUAAAGAAUGUCCUAUCCAAAGUCAGAAAUGGCAGGUGCACCACCCCCAGGUCCUGCCCCUGUUGUGGCACAACCAGGAGCAGAUAUGAAGAUGGUAAAUUUACAAAUGGUAGCAGGGGCUCCUACACAAUGGGCUGCGGCAGGACAAGCUCCUCCCGGAUGUCCAAAGGGACUGGAAUAUUUGGCCGGUGUAGAUCAGUUAUUAGUUAAACAGAAAGUUGAAGCAAUCGAGGCCAUCACUGGAUUUGAAACAAACAACAAAUAUGAUAUUGUGAAUUCUCUGGGCCAGAGAGUAUACCAAGCUGUAGAAGAUACCUGUUGUUGUACAAGAAACUGUUGUGGAUCUACUAGACCUUUUGAUAUUAAGAUCUUAGACAAUAGAAAUAUGGAAGUAAUACAUUUAUCUCGAGGUCUGAGAUGCAGUUCCUGUUGGUGUCCAUGUUGUUUACAGCGAGUGACAGUUGAAGCGCCACCUGGCCAGGUUUGUGGAUAUGUUUCCCAGGCUUGGAGUUUGUGUAAACCUAGAUUUAAAAUCGAGAAUGCAGAAGGAGAGACUGUAUUGAGAAUCAAGGGACCAUGUUGUCAAUGGGAGAUGUGUGGUGAUAUUGAAUUUGAUGUACAUACAGAAGAUGAGACCACCUUUGUAGGCCGUGUCACUAAACAAUGGACAGGACUGGGUAAAGAAUUGUUUACAGAUGCUGAUAACUUUGGAAUCUCUUUCCCUGUAGAUCUGGAUAUUAAAAUGAAAGCUGUAAUGAUUGGUGCAGUAUUUUUAUUAGAUUUUAUGUUCUAUGAAAAUAACAAGAAGAAGAACCAAAAAGAUGCUAAGAAGGUCUUAGGAUAAAUACAUGCCAAUAUGGGGUUACAGGAUAAAUACACACCUAUAUGGAUGUAUGACUAAACCCAGAGAUCAAACACUGAUGUAUCAGUAGCCUUGAGAAGAAUCUGCUGGAAGAAACAAAUACUGAUUUAUUCUGCACAAUUUCAUGUCUUUCAAUGUAGAUGAUUUUAGGACUAAACUUUUCUUCAGUUUUGUUUCUGAAUUCUUCGACUUGCUAUAAUUUUAUGAGAUGCUCUUAAAUAUAUAUCAUAAGUUUUAUAUCACUUUUACUUGUAUUAGUUUAAAUUUUAUUCUCUUUUAUUUAUUUUAACUUUAUCAUGAAACUUAUUGCAGCUUUUUUAUAAUCACAAAUAAUUAAAUCUUUUAAAAAUGCUUUUGAACGUCAUGUCGUGUAACUAUCAGAUGACCAAAAAAAAGAAGCUUAAAUAAAGAGAAAUAGAAAAAACAUUAGAAAUCAAAAUGAUAAAUUAAUAAAUUAAUCUUUUAAAAUGAACAAACCACAGAUUAAAAAGAUUUAUAAAUAUAUGCAUAUCAUUAUGUUUCAUAAAAUAACCAUGAACAGUGCUUAAUACAUAACUGAACUGAGAAAGGAUAAUAAGCUUAUGUAAGCAUUAUUCAUGUAAACAUUGCUUAGUAAAUUUAUUUGAUUCGUGUAUCAUAUACACCAUAUAGUAUUGUACUGUAAAGAUAAAUACUUUCACAUUCAUUAUUGCUUCUCAUAGUCACAAUUUAUAACGAAAUGACAAGGUUAAAUAAAAUUUACUCAAGUUUUUUGGAUUUUAGCAGAAAAAAAAUAUGCAACUUUCAAAGUACUGUUUUAUCAAAUGAGUUCACUGAAGUGAAAAUUUUAUCACAUUUACAUUUUGAGAAACUGUUUUUCUUUAAAAUAUGACAUUUUUAAAAUUUGAUUUUAGCCUUAUCGUUUGACAGAAUUGUUUACAUUGUAAUUCAGGUAAAUGUUUGUAUGCUUUACUGUGAUUAACCAGUUGGUUGUUGUUAGAAAAGACAUAUACACAAUGUAACAUCAAAUAAUUAGGGGCAUUGUAUGUCUUGUUUAUGUAAAAUAUGUAAAUCUUUAUAUAUAUUCAAGCUAAAUAUACAUGUAAUAACAACUGUAAGAGAAUUUAUGGCUGGAUUAUGUAAUGAGUUAUAAAUUUUAUCAAAUUUAAAUAUGGAAACAGGUUGAAAUUUUUUAUCUUUAAACAGUAUUCUUAUUAACAGAUUUCAUUAAAUUUCAUUGCUUUACUGAUAAAUUUGAUACAUACAAACAAGAUGACAUCUAAUGGCAAAAAUGAUUUGCUGAUUGGAAAGAAACAUAUGAUACUUUUUAAAUGUUUAAGAUUUCUUUCAUGCAAGUGAUUUUACCCCCUCAAACCUUUCAUUGAUAGUAUUAAGGGUAGAAGUAAUAUAAAUAAGAAUCCCCCCUCCCCCUCCCCCUUAUACAAUCUUUUUAUAUUGAGAUAUAUUUGUUGAACAAUUCUGUAGUUAGUUAAGAUUUAUGUAUCUGAUAUAUGUAAGUCCAUUUGAAUUCAUUGGGUUUUGAUUACUGAGUUUACAGGCCAGUACUACAGGAGUUCUAAACAUUGAGUUUAAACAUGAAGUUUUCAUUUUUGCUUUGCUUUUUAGAUUACAGUUUCUUUACUUAUAUAGUAACCAUAUUUAUGUACUGGCUUACUAUUUCUGACUGAUGUUUUACAUUUGUCUUUUUGGUUGAUGAUGCCUCAUCAUAUCAGACAAUAACUACAUACUUGUAUUUUAUACAUCAAUUUUAUUAUCUAAUAUAUAUAUAUAUACUUUAAGGCAGGCUAUGUUGUAUCCAUUAACAGCCAAGAUUUAUUUUAUAUAAUUGUACUUUUAGUCAUGUGUUGUUUUUACACUUUUUCUUUUUUACAAGAUUCUUUUUUUAUUCUAUUUAUUCUUGUAUAAAGGAGAUUUGUUUGUCUGUUUGUCUUUUUCAUUCUCCACAUUAUUUAAAAUAUUACGGCUUCUUUUUAGAAUUAACAUUUCAUCAAAUAUAUAACUUAAUACUUCAUACUAACUGUAGUGAGAUUAAGUUAGAUGUUUUGGGGUUUGCUAUCCUGUCUUAAAGGACCAUUCGUACAUAGAUAGGAAUAAAAAGAUCAAACAUUGAAAUAAGCUUCACUACUGUAAUCUAGAAACCUUAUUGGUCCAUACAUUUGUUGAUAUAAGAAUGUUUACAAUAGGGAAAUUCAUACAGUCAACAAAGCCAGUAAUUUAAGUAACACAAAUAUAGUAAAAUAGAUUAUUGAAACAUACUAAGAAUAGGAAGAAACCUAAAGUAUUGAUAAAACCUAUUUUUGACAAUAUCUUUUGCUCUGUGCUUUCUUUUACCUCAAACACUCAUGGAUUUAUAUAUUCCAAAAAUAUGAAAAGAAAUUUAGGAACUUUUUGAAAGUGCAAGUACUGGUAUUAUAUUCUGAAUCAAUUUCUUUGUAUUGGGUACUGAGGGUUUAACUGUAAAUUCUUAAUAUGUAUAAUUAAAAAUGAUUAUUAAACAAAUUUAUUUGUAUGAUACAUAAUCAUGAUAAUGUACAUAAUGGUGUUGGUAGCAAAUACUUAGCAACUGCAAAAUUACAUCAAAAUGACCUUAGUGCCUCUCGGUUUUGCAUGGUAAAAAUUUAUAUAUGGGAAUAACCAUAGUCAUAUCUUUAUUUUGUGUUUUGAUAAAAUUUAAUAAGCAGGUGUAGUGAAAAGAUUGAAAUCCACUGUAAUAUAUGACCAACCUUAAUCCGUUUUGUAUGAAGAUAGUUAAUUAUUGUGCAUAUCAGAAUCAGUGAAUCACCCAAAUUUUGCUUAAUAUUUUCUACAUUAAAAUAUUCAAGUUUAACAAAUCUAAAUAAAUAUAUUUUUAUUGGAAAGUAAGGUUUAAAAAUUCCAUUUUUUUGUGGGGAAUAUAAUGUUUAAUCUUUUAAUAACACUGGGUCUAAAUAAAAUUUCUAGACAUGUAAGUCUUUGAAUUGGCUUUUUCCUUUCGAUGGACAUGCUGUGUUCAUGUAUUUGGUUUAGAGAUUCAGAAGUUUGAUUCCUUUAAAACAAUCGAUUUGGUAUUUUUUGUCUGCUAUAGACAAAUAUUGACAUUCAACAUUUAUUGACCUUCACUAACUAUCUCUGUGUUCAAGCUUUGCACUUGUUGUAUUCCCAUAGAUGUAAGACUACACAUGUAAUAAUCUGUUAUGUAUAGUAGUAUUAUAAGUCUUUGUAAUUUAUGAUAUUAAAAUAAAAGAAAUUCGUUAUA